UUGGGGUCUGCUGGAGGAAUUGAUGAGUUUUAUGUCCCAGUGAGAGACUAUAACAACAACAACAACAUCAACAAAACUGAGCUGGGGUAGAUAAGAUGUCUCAUCAGGUAAAGGCAGCGGCUCUCUCUGAACCUGGAGCUCACCAUUGCAUCUGACUGGCUGGCAGUGCAUUCCAGGGAUCUGUCUGCCUCUGCUUCCUCAGCUCUGAGCUUGCAGACAUAUGCUCUUUUAGUAGUUUUGUUUUCUUGUGGCUUUAUGGAUGAAGACCCUGGAUUUUGACCACUGUCCUCUACCCAUACAUACACUCAAAAGAGAGCUUCCAACUGUGAUCAAGGAAUAAG
This is a long non-coding RNA of Mus musculus (house mouse), 341 nucleotides long. RefSeq annotates it as predicted gene 29345. The transcript has 3 exons. The record is from RefSeq and is marked validated. NCBI's taxonomy places the organism in Eukaryota, Metazoa, Chordata, Mammalia, Rodentia, Muridae.